Non-coding RNA from Heterocephalus glaber (naked mole-rat), 2744 nucleotides. NCBI's taxonomy places the organism in Eukaryota, Metazoa, Chordata, Mammalia, Rodentia, Bathyergidae. The record is from RefSeq and is a predicted model, not a curated record.
CAGCUGGUGUAGCAGUUUCUGGGAGUCAGUUGUUGUCAGGACUUCUGUCAUCUUGCUAGAGACUGCGGCUCCUCAGCGUGAUCAUCCUCCCUGGGCCUGCUCUCACCUCACCCCACGCUAUCGGAUAAGAGAGGCCUAGGAGCACUUGAAGAGUCUGAAUAAAAAUUCCAACAAGGCCUGCAACACCCCCCACGGAUGGUCCCACCCCCUUCAUUUGUUGUGCUGCUGGAGAUCGAACCUAGGGCGACACAAUGCAAUUUUACUUCCAAAAGAAUCCUUGAACACUGCAAACAAAUCUCUUCAUAAGCUGAAGUAGCAUUCCUGGAUCCAGUGAAGCUUUAAACACCAGAAGCCUAGACACAAUAGCAGCCACCUCUCCAUUUGGUUUUACUCAGUGGUGGUGGUGGUUACACUGGGGUCCAGUGUGUGCACUAGAUUCAUUUACCACGGCUACUCUGUGUGAUGCUAAAAUCCUAUGCUUCAUGAGUUCCAAUGUUAUUACAGAAAUACCUGUAUUGCGAAAGUAUAAGUCUGUAAUUUCUUAAGAAAACAAUGGUAAACAAGGCUUUUUUACUCAGUGAUGAAAAAUACACUAGGUUGAUGGUUCACUUGUUUUUGUAUAAUAUAGAAUUGAAGGUCUCCAGUUUUUCUCUGAUUUGUGUUAAAUGUUUAGCUAGUUCGAGUAGCUCUGAAGCUACUGCAACUAGCAGAAGGAAUUAACCAUUUCAAAAAUUUGUUAAUGACUCUUUCCUACACGUCCAGUGUGCUAAGUGCUAUGUUGUGCUGAAGGUGACCGAUUCUGACUUGGAGGGAAGGGGGGGCAUUUAAAAUUUGGUCUUUUGAGAGAAAUGGCAUCAUAAUGGAUGGACAGGUCAGGGGAGGGCCUUCUAUGCUUAAGAAAGAGCAGAGGCAGAAAAAUGGACUGGGCACAGGUUAGUCCUAUAAGGACUGGGGCAUCAAAUCAAAGUCAGCAUACUUGGGAAACAGGUGGGACAGAGCUGAUGGUGCCAGUGAGUGCCAUGGGAUCGAGCAGUCACCACUGUGGGCAGCAGCACAGCAGCGGGCUACGUUUCUACCUGGUUACCCACUGGAAUCCCCUGGGAUGACCCCAUGACCUCCGGCGAUUCUGAUUAAUAGGUCUGUGCUGGGCCUGGAACACUGGAAUUUCAUAAAACUUCCGCACGACUAGAAUGUGCAGCCAGGACUGAGACUUGCUGCUCUGAAUUCUCAGAUCCCAGGCAAAAAUGAAAAGGAGAAGUCCCAGAAUGUGAUGGUGGGAGGAGCAAAUUCCAGCAGUGGGAAUCAGGGGAAGCCUUUAUGGAGGGUGAUGAACAGGACAUGAACUCCUGCUCUGAGAUCCUCACUGUGUGUGGAGAAAACAGACUACUACUACUCAGCUCCUCGGUGCUGAAAAAAAGAGGUGAGGGAGCUUUCUUCAGGCCCAAGGCACAGGAGGGAAAGGCACUCCAAGACUGAAUCAACAGGGUCUGGUGUUUGGUGUACAGCAAGGGACAAAGAGGAAGUGUCAGAGACACACCGGAUCUUCCACUGGAGGAUGAGCUAUGCAGGGAAUGGAGGCAGAGACACCACAUAACCAGGGGUGGGGCGUGCGUGGGAAGGAUGGCAGUGCUAGGAUGCUUCAGGUCUGAUGUGUGUGAGGAAGCACCAGUACUUCCGAGAUGUCCAGCUACGGACAGGAAGUAAGGGUGAGAGCAACACAGGAGAAUCCCGGCUGGCAAUAGGAGUUUAUAAGAGUUACCUGCGGUCUCAUGGGGAGACACAAACUCAUUCUCUCAGUAUGCAAGUGGGGACUGUGCUGCUAGUGACUUAAUCCCACAGGUAUGGUGGACUUUUGCAGUUCAUGUCCUAGACCAACAUGAGAAGGGGGUAGGGGUCGCAGUCUAUACCCACUGGGGUGGAUUUCCACCUCAUCUGCAUGGGCUUCUUUGGUGAAAAGCUGUGUCUUCAGCGCUGCUGGCCUCAGUUCCUCAUUUUUUUAUCAGCACCUUCUACAUCUGACCACUUAUGUUUAACAUCCUUAGACAAGGGUAGGUUUUAAGUUAAGAAAUAGCAUGUGUCUGGAUCAAGUUACUUAGCAUAAGUCCAGGUUAAGAACAGAAAAAAAUUCCCACAGGACCAAGAACUUGUUACAAUUUCUCUUAUUUUUUCAAUACUGUGUAUUGGGUCUGGAAGGCACUGAGCUACAUCCCCAGGCCUUUUAAUUUUUUUUAAAGAUGGAUCUUGCUAAGUUGCCCAGCCUGGGCUUGAACUUGAGAUCCUCCGGCCUCGGCCUCCUAAGUAGCUGAGAUUACAAGUGCAUACCAUGACAUCUGACUUCAUUACAGUUUCAAGUUUCAAGGUUUUAAAUGGUCUCUGAUCAGGAUUUAUGGAGACAUGAAAAGAGGCCAGUCACCCUGUAUCUACAGUUCCUUUCAGCUUGUGGUCAGAAAGUCAGCCAUUUGGAUUCUCUUUGCUUAAUUCUACUUCAAAGCUUUAUUUCUGAAACUAGUGCAUUCUUUUUGACCUUUUCUCUUCCAACUUAGGGCCUAUAUCAGCUCUGCUCUUCUCUUGUAGUUUAAUCACAAUUGGACAUGGUCUUUAUUAGGUUCAGGGCUACAUUUCGGUUUUGGACAACCCUAUACUACAAGUCCUAGGGCUGGGAAUUUAGCUCAGUGGUUCUGCCACCUGCCUUGCAAGCACAAGGACCCGAGUUCUAUCCUCGGUACCAAAAAAAAAAAAAAAAA